AGAGUUUGAUCAUGGCUCAGAUUGAACGCUGGCGGCAGGCCUAACACAUGCAAGUCGAGCGGUAGCACAGAGAGCUUGCUCUCGGGUGACGAGCGGCGGACGGGUGAGUAAUGUCUGGGAAACUGCCUGAUGGAGGGGGAUAACUACUGGAAACGGUAGCUAAUACCGCAUAAUGUCGCAAGACCAAAGUGGGGGACCUUCGGGCCUCAUGCCAUCAGAUGUGCCCAGAUGGGAUUAGCUUGUAGGUGGGGUAACGGCUCACCUAGGCGACGAUCCCUAGCUGGUCUGAGAGGAUGACCAGCCACACUGGAACUGAGACACGGUCCAGACUCCUACGGGAGGCAGCAGUGGGGAAUAUUGCACAAUGGGCGCAAGCCUGAUGCAGCCAUGCCGCGUGUGUGAAGAAGGCCUUCGGGUUGUAAAGCACUUUCAGCGGGGAGGAAGGCGGUGAGGUUAAUAACCUCAUCGAUUGACGUUACCCGCAGAAGAAGCACCGGCUAACUCCGUGCCAGCAGCCGCGGUAAUACGGAGGGUGCAAGCGUUAAUCGGAAUUACUGGGCGUAAAGCGCACGCAGGCGGUCUGUCAAGUCGGAUGUGAAAUCCCCGGGCUUAACCUGGGAACUGCAUUCGAAACUGGCAGGCUAGAGUCUUGUAGAGGGGGGUAGAAUUCCAGGUGUAGCGGUGAAAUGCGUAGAGAUCUGGAGGAAUACCGGUGGCGAAGGCGGCCCCCUGGACAAAGACUGACGCUCAGGUGCGAAAGCGUGGGGAGCAAACAGGAUUAGAUACCCUGGUAGUCCACGCCGUAAACGAUGUCGAUUUGGAGGUUGUGCCCUUGAGGCGUGGCUUCCGGAGCUAACGCGUUAAAUCGACCGCCUGGGGAGUACGGCCGCAAGGUUAAAACUCAAAUGAAUUGACGGGGGCCCGCACAAGCGGUGGAGCAUGUGGUUUAAUUCGAUGCAACGCGAAGAACCUUACCUGGUCUUGACAUCCACAGAACUUUGCAGAGAUGGUUUGGUGCCUUCGGGAACUGUGAGACAGGUGCUGCAUGGCUGUCGUCAGCUCGUGUUGUGAAAUGUUGGGUUAAGUCCCGCAACGAGCGCAACCCUUAUCCUUUGUUGCCAGCGGUCCGGCCGGGAACUCAAAGGAGACUGCCAGUGAUAAACUGGAGGAAGGUGGGGAUGACGUCAAGUCAUCAUGGCCCUUACGACCAGGGCUACACACGUGCUACAAUGGCAUAUACAAAGAGAAGCGACCUCGCGAGAGCAAGCGGACCUCAUAAAGUAUGUCGUAGUCCGGAUUGGAGUCUGCAACUCGACUCCAUGAAGUCGGAAUCGCUAGUAAUCGUAGAUCAGAAUGCUACGGUGAAUACGUUCCCGGGCCUUGUACACACCGCCCGUCACACCAUGGGAGUGGGUUGCAAAAGAAGUAGGUAGCUUAACCUUCGGGAGGGCGCUUACCACUUUGUGAUUCAUGACUGGGGUGAAGUCGUAACAAGGUAACCGUAGGGGAACCUGCGGUUGGAUCACCU
RNAcentral lists this ribosomal RNA (1528 nucleotides) under Klebsiella pneumoniae. RNAcentral's name for it is "bacterial SSU rRNA". It matches the Rfam family "Bacterial small subunit ribosomal RNA". Lineage: Bacteria; Pseudomonadati; Pseudomonadota; Gammaproteobacteria; Enterobacterales; Enterobacteriaceae. The record is from RNAcentral.